AUGAGAUGCAGACGUUGGACUGGAGAUUUGGAGAAGAGGGACUUUAACACUUGAUUUGAUGUACCAACGUUAAGUAACUAUUAGUUGUUGAGCUUUUUAUAACGCUACCAAGAUAGAAAGUAAGUUACAAAUAUAUAGUUUAAUGUUAUACAUAUGAUAUAUUAAAACGUUUUGUAGGGGUGUUAACUGUUCGGCUAGCUAUUUUCCGGUAACAUGCUGAGGAACAGUAACGGAUAGUGAGACAGGAGAGUCCAGGCACCAAAAGGAAAGUACUAUCUGGUGAAACAGUUUUCGCUGUGCUAUGGUUUUUGGUUAGUUAACUUCACCAUGUUUUUUUUUCUAAGCUGUGCUCGCAUUCUACACAGGGUGCAUUUCUUUAUAAUUUUUUCUAUAAGGGGUAGACAUGCUCGACAUGGCCUUCCAGGAUGAAAUCAAAGGCACUAGAUCUAAAUCUCCUCCAAUUGGAUGGCCUCCUCCUGCAUGACACCUUUGCUACAUGCUGCCUGAGCUACAUGCUACAUUGACACCUGAGCUUCCUCUAUGCUCGUGAGGACGACUCCUUCCGCCACCUGUCACCUGACAGACCACCUCCUGUAUGCUUGUGAGGAAGCCUCCUGCCACCUCUGUCACCUGACAGACCACUUCCUGCAGACCAUCUGAACUAAAUUCAGUAUCUGCUGCUUUCUCUGCUGGAGCUGGGUCGCCUUCACUCUCUUGUUCUCUCUGUCUUUCUCACCUGAAACUCCUACAUCUGCAUCCCUGUCCUCUCCUUCAAAAAUAGACAAUUUAAGACUUUAAUCCUGUUGAUAUAAAACAAUAACGAUGCAUCUUUAAUUGCUACUAACUUUGUGGUUGGCUUCUUUUUCCACUACGCCGUGCAUUUGUUGCAGAUUGAGGGGGUGGAUUCAUGCAAUGUAUUCUGGUAGGUACUGCCUCAGAGGACAGUGUCUUCCGUGAACUCUGUUGAAAGACAUUUUUACCCGAAAAUAUCAUGACUGAUUCUUUUUUUUUUGGACAAAGAUAAUAAUCAGAAUAAAACUCUUCGAAGUGCUCCUCGCACACAGCGUAACCCCCUUUCUUCAGGUCCUCAAAGGACUUCUGCAGACUGAUGUCCGUACGCCUGAUGUUUCUCAGCCACAUCUUCCUCCGGAGUAAUUACAAAUGUGUGUAAGGUUUAAUCUCACAUUUUAUUGAAUUCAGCUGGAUGUUGGUCUAUGCUUAAGGUUUCCUAUUUUAUAGUAAAUUUAGUAGUGUAGUGGUUGCAGAUAACCAUAAACUAUUAUGUCCUCUACCCCCGUUAUUGACCCUGAUUUUAGUUUUUUUUUAUAGUACUCAACAGUUAAUUUAAACAGCAGCCAUGUUGUUUUUUCUCUCUGUAUGUGUAAGAGGAGUGUGAUGUAGACUACAGAAGUCAGCAGAAAGGCAGCCUUUCUAGCUACUCCUGUGACCAGGACCCAAAUGAGGACCUGACAUUCUUACGGACCGUGUCCUGCUAUAGUUAGUAGUGUAUAUGGACUCACCCCUGUAGUCUGCAGACAUCUGGGGUCUACGUCACACUCCUCUUCAAUCAAAACUGACACUCCUCUGUAAGACACCGCCUUAACAACCAUCGCCUGAUUAGCAACACCCUCAAUAACGGAGAACAUAUUAUAGAAUAAAGACCCACACUUUAUCCUGUCCUAUGAAACAUUAUAAUAAAGACCCACACUUUAUUCUAUGAAACAUUUUCAGUUGCUGCCCUCUGAAACCUGAUAGAUCUUUUGAUGCUCUGCUCUAAUGCUACACAUGGUGUAUGUCUUUCUACUUGGACCAUUUUCCUAUUCAGGGGAUGCAUGCACAAUGUGUUCUUCCAGGUUGUGAUCAAAUGCUCUACUUUCAUGGUGUUUAUAUGUUCUAUUUUUUUCACCAUGUUAAAAGGCAUUUAAUAAAUGUACAGUGAGGUGCAAAAGUAUUCAUCCA
This is a long non-coding RNA of Salmo salar (Atlantic salmon), 1959 nucleotides long. RefSeq lists it as uncharacterized. The record is from RefSeq and is a predicted model, not a curated record. NCBI's taxonomy places the organism in Eukaryota, Metazoa, Chordata, Actinopteri, Salmoniformes, Salmonidae.